GCUGCUGCCCGCGAUAUGUGCAAAGGGAGAAAUUAAUAACUGCACUUUAGCAUGCAGGCGCAGAAACCCGAGACGCUAAAUAACCGGCAUCUCCUCUAGCAUCAGCAACCUCAAAAAGCAUGAAAAGAAAAUCUGGAGAAUCCUGUCUAUUCACAGGGACUGGCUAAUAUUUUAUUUCUUUUUACCUCACCCUCUUAAUCCAUUCGUGAAGAGGCUGUUAGCAGGCUGUUUCCUUGGUCCUGGAAAGAGAGUCUUUAAUGACUGGAAAACUCAAUGGAUCAUGUUUUUAUAAUCUAAGCUAUUUUUAUAUUGACUGUGCGGUUAACACAUGGA
This is a long non-coding RNA of Nothoprocta perdicaria, 333 nucleotides long. RefSeq lists it as uncharacterized. Lineage: Eukaryota; Metazoa; Chordata; Aves; Tinamiformes; Tinamidae. The transcript is spliced from 2 exons. The record is from RefSeq and is a predicted model, not a curated record.